AUUGAACGCUGGCGGCAGGCCUAACACAUGCAAGUCGGACGGUAGCACAGAGGAGCUUGCUCCUCGGGUGACGAGUGGCGGACGGGUGAGUAAUGUCUGGGGAUCUGCCCGAUAGAGGGGGAUAACCACUGGAAACGGUGGCUAAUACCGCAUAACGUCGCAAGACCAAAGAGGGGGACCUUCGGGCCUCUCACUAUCGGAUGAACCCAGAUGGGAUUAGCUAGUAGGCGGGGUAACGGCCCACCUAGGCGACGAUCCCUAGCUGGUCUGAGAGGAUGACCAGCCACACUGGAACUGAGACACGGUCCAGACUCCUACGGGAGGCAGCAGUGGGGAAUAUUGCACAAUGGGCGCAAGCCUGAUGCAGCCAUGCCGCGUGUAUGAAGAAGGCCUUCGGGUUGUAAAGUACUUUCAGCGGGGAGGAAGGCGAUGUGGUUAAUAACCGCAUUGAUUGACGUUACCCGCAGAAGAAGCACCGGCUAACUCCGUGCCAGCAGCCGCCGUAA
RNAcentral lists this ribosomal RNA (506 nucleotides) under uncultured bacterium. RNAcentral's name for it is "partial 16S ribosomal RNA". It matches the Rfam family "Bacterial small subunit ribosomal RNA", at positions 29 to 523 of the family's 1533-position model. The record is from RNAcentral.